RNAcentral lists this ribosomal RNA (313 nucleotides) under uncultured delta proteobacterium. RNAcentral's name for it is "bacterial SSU rRNA". It matches the Rfam family "Bacterial small subunit ribosomal RNA", at positions 536 to 847 of the family's 1533-position model. Lineage: Bacteria; Deltaproteobacteria. The record is from RNAcentral.
AAGCGUUGUUCGGAAUUAUUGGGCGUAAAGCGCGUGUAGGCGGUUUGUUAAGUCUGAUGUGAAAGCCCCGGGCUCAACCUGGGAAGUGCAUUGGAAACUGGCAGACUUGAAUACGGGAGAGGGUAGUGGAAUUCCUAGUGUAGGAGUGAAAUCCGUAGAUAUUAGGAGGAACACCGGUGGCGAAGGCGGCUGCCUGGACCGAUAUUGACGCUGAGACGCGAAAGCGUGGGGAGCAAACAGGAUUAGAUACCCUGGUAGUCCACGCCGUAAACGAUGAGUACUAGGUGUUGCGGGUAUUGACCCCUGCAGUGCC